RNAcentral lists this ribosomal RNA (427 nucleotides) under uncultured prokaryote. Its description in RNAcentral is "bacterial SSU rRNA". It matches the Rfam family "Bacterial small subunit ribosomal RNA", at positions 355 to 774 of the family's 1533-position model. The record is from RNAcentral.
UGGGGAAUUUUGUGCAAUGGACGAAAGUCUGACGCAGCAACGCCGCGUGGGUGAUGAAGGUCUUCGGGUUGUAAAACCCUGUCGUCAGGGACGAAGGUUGGGGCCCUAAUACGGUUUCAGCUUGACGGUACCUGGAGAGGAAGCCCCGGCUAACUCUGUGCCAGCAGCCGCGGUAAUACAGAGGGGGCAAGCGUUAUUCGGAAUUACUGGGCGUAAAGGGCGCGUAGGCGGUUUUUUAAGUCGGAUGUGUAAUCCCCGAGCUCAACUUGGUAACUGCAUCCGAAACUGGGAAGCUAGGGUACUGGAGAGGGUGGUAGAAUUCCACGUGUAGCGGUGAAAUGCGUAGAGAUGUGGAGGAAUACCAGUGGCGAAGGCGGCCACCUGGACAGUAACUGACGCUGAGGCGCGAAAGUGUGGGGAGCAAACA